This 519-nucleotide ribosomal RNA is filed under the name uncultured eukaryote. RNAcentral describes it as "bacterial SSU rRNA". It matches the Rfam family "Eukaryotic small subunit ribosomal RNA", at positions 1164 to 1705 of the family's 1831-position model. The record is from RNAcentral.
ACCACCCCAACUGGAGUGGGGGCUGUGGCUUGAUUUGACUCAGCAAAGGGAAACUCGCCCGGACCGGACACUGAUUGGAUUGACAGAAUGUCUUUUCUGUCUUGAUUCGGUGGGGGGUGGUGCAUGGCUUAUCUGGGGGAGUGGAGUGAUUGGUUAGGUUAAAUAACAUAACAAACUCUACUCUACUAAAUAGACUAUGUGUUUUUGUUGCUUUCAAAUACUUCUUGCAGGAACCGGAAAAGAUUCGCCCUUAGCAAACACACGAGACGUCACAAAUUAAACUUCUUAGAGAGACGGGGGGGGUUUUAGCCUAACGAAAAGUGAUCAUAAUGGGUCUGUGAUGCGCUUACAUGUCCGGGGAAACCCGCUCGAUACACUGAAAGGUGAGGAUAGCAUCUAGUUAUUCUUCCCCCUAAAGGAGGAAGUCACCCUUAGCGCCCCUCUUAAGCUCGGGAUAAUUACUUGCCUGUCCUGUGCACGAACCAGCCGUUCCUACUACCGAUUAAAUGUCCUGAUGAC